RNAcentral lists this transfer RNA (75 nucleotides) under Candidatus Magasanikbacteria bacterium RIFCSPHIGHO2_02_FULL_48_18. RNAcentral's name for it is "tRNA-Glu". It matches the Rfam family "tRNA". From Rfam's summary of the family: Transfer RNA (tRNA) molecules are approximately 80 nucleotides in length. Their secondary structure includes four short double-helical elements and three loops (D, anti-codon, and T loops). Further hydrogen bonds mediate the characteristic L-shaped molecular structure. tRNAs have two regions of fundamental functional importance: the anti-codon, which is responsible for specific mRNA codon recognition, and the 3' end, to which the tRNAs corresponding amino acid is attached (by aminoacyl-tRNA synthetases). tRNAs cope with the degeneracy of the genetic code in two manners: having more than one tRNA (with a specific anti-codon) for a particular amino acid; and 'wobble' base-pairing, i.e. permitting non-standard base-pairing at the 3rd anti-codon position. The record is from RNAcentral. Lineage: Bacteria; Candidatus Magasanikiibacteriota. RNAcentral also lists the same sequence under 2 other names.
GGCGCCAUCGUCUAGUGGUGAGGACAUCAGGUUUUCAUCCUGAGAACAGGGGUUCGAUUCCCCUUGGCGCUACGA